GUGUCAGCCGCCGCGGUAAUACGUAGGGUGCGAGCGUUAAUCGGAAUUACUGGGCGUAAAGCGUGCGCAGGCGGUUCGUGAUGUCUGAUGUGAAAGCCCCGGGCUCAACCUGGGAAUUGCAUUGGAAACUAGCGGGCUGGAGUGUGGCAGAGGGGGGUGGAAUUCCACGUGUAGCAGUGAAAUGCGUAGAGAUGUGGAGGAACACCGAUGGCGAAGGCAGCCCCCUGGGCUAACACUGACGCUCAUGCACGAAAGCGUGGGGAGCAAACAGGAUUAGAAACCCGCGUAGUCC
Molecule: ribosomal RNA, 292 nt
Filed under: uncultured bacterium
Lineage: Bacteria
Description: partial 16S ribosomal RNA
Rfam family: Bacterial small subunit ribosomal RNA
Source: RNAcentral